Molecule: non-coding RNA, 86 nt
Organism: Cystobacter fuscus DSM 2262
Lineage: Bacteria; Pseudomonadati; Myxococcota; Myxococcia; Myxococcales; Archangiaceae
Source: Rfam
GCACGAGUGGCGAAACUGGCAGACGCAGCGGACUUAAAAUCCGCUGGCCCGAAGGGGCCGUCCGGGUUCGAUCCCCGGCUCGUGCA